RNA transcript from Poecile atricapillus (Black-capped chickadee), 2949 nucleotides. It is a transcript of the gene named extracellular matrix organizing protein FRAS1-like, with no coding region annotated. The transcript has 8 exons. The record is from RefSeq and is a predicted model, not a curated record. Lineage: Eukaryota; Metazoa; Chordata; Aves; Passeriformes; Paridae.
AGAGAGGGGGAGAGGGGAGCUGAGAGAGGAGUAAAGGGGUACGAGAGAAGAGCCGAGAGGUACGAGAGAGGUUAAGAGGUAAGAGAGAAAAGCUAAGAGAGAGGUUAAGAGAGGUUUAAGAUAGAAAAGCUAAGAGAGCGAAGUUCUUGUUACAAUCCAAUCUAUCUUUUUCUAUAGUGAAUAUUCUAAUUCCCAGUAACCAAUCACCACGAGAUACACCCACUAAAGAUUUUACAUACAGUGUUGCAUUUGAGGUUCUACAAGCUUUACGAGUUCUUCCCUUGCUUCUUGACCUUUGGGCUUUCUGUCAGCAGAAGGACAUUGUUUUAUCAGCAGGAUUCUCCUUUAGCUGGCUAGGCUAUUGUUCUUUGGUCAUACAGUAACCAGUACUCUGUAUCUUAUGACUCAAAGCAGGCUUUCGUUUCUACUUCGAUUCUAGCCUUCUUUUUUCAGAAUCUUCUGCCAAACCAUCACAUUCAUAAGGUUUCCCUGUUUCACCCUCCCCAACAGGCAGCAAGUUGUGCUGCGCUCUGAUAAUUCCAUACUCAACCUGUUCCUCAUUUCUUAAAGGUUCACUUCAGCCUUGAAUCAGCAGGUCCCUAGGUUUGGUUUUUUAGGAUGCCAUUCCCGUUAGAUUUUCCCCUGUGAAGACCUGAGUAUGUCCAGUUUGACCUCCAGGAUAAUGAAGGGAGAGGAGCUCCCGUUGAUUCAAGAGUGAAGCAAGGCCCCCAUUCUUGGCCUGGGGCUGUUUCAAAUGGGGAGGGAUCAGUGUCCUGACUUCUCUCUCUCAGAGGCAGGGUUCCUGGACGAGGUGACCCAGGACAGCUUCGUGCUGGGCCCGGGCUACGACCGCCCCUAGCAGCUGGAGCCCGCGGUGAGGGAGCCCAAGAGCAUCCAGCUGUACCAGCACCUCAGCCUCAAGAGCUGCAUCUGGACCUUCGACGCUUAUUACGACAUGACCGAGUUAAUUGAUGUCUGUGGGGGCUCUGUCACCGCUGACUUCCAGGUAAGGGACUCUGCCCAGUCCUUCCUGACAGUCCACGUCCCUCUCUCCGUGUCCUACAUCUGUGUGACGGCACCGAGGGGCUGGGCUUCCCUGGAGCACCGCACCGAGAUGGAGUUCUCCUUCUUCUACGACACCGUUCUCUGGAGGACAGGGAUCCAGACGGACAGCGUGCUCUCGGCCCGCCUGCAGAUAAUCCCCAUCUACAUCCGCGAGGACGGACGGCUGGUCAGCGAGUUCAGGACGCAGGCCAAGUUCAGAGCGCUGUUUGUCACGGAGCACCACAGCCUGCCAGAUGUCAGGUCCUCUUGGAGAACUCCAGAGCACCUGGGAGGCAUCGAAUUUGACCUGCAGCUGCUGUGGAGUGCUCAGACUUUUGAUUCUCCCUACCAGCUCUGGAGAGCAACCAGCUCCUACAACAGGAAGGAUUACUCUGGAGAAUACACCAUGUUCCUGAUCCCCUGCACGGUGCAGCCCACGCAGCCGUGGGCAGAGCCUGGAGCCAAGCCCCUGCCCUGCACGGCUCACGCUCCCGAGCGGUUUUUGAUCCUGAUCACCUUCCAGCAGACAAGCCGCCCAGUUCCAGUUGUUUACUCCCAGAACGCAAGAGUUUCAGAUCUGUAACGACGAGAAGGUUUUUCUAAUGGACCCCACCAAAUCGGAAAGGUCUCUGGCAGAAAUGGAUUACAAGGGGGGCUUUUUCCAAGGGUAGGAUUUACCUCUCCUCUUCUGCUUGUGCCCAGCGUUUCUGCUUUCACAGCUUCCAUUCCCUGGAGAGGAAAGGGCAAAACCCACAGGUAGCUUUGCCUCUUCUACAGCAAUCAUUGACAUCUUACAGGCCUGUGAAAGAGCAGCGUGCUCUGGCACCGCGUUUUGUCACUCCCACCCACCGAGCCCUUCCCAAACAACCCAAACCCUUCUGAACACGGACACUUGGCUCUAGCAGCGUUUUCCUGCUUGGGAAAUUUCACCUGCCCCUCUUUGUCCCGACCUCCCCAGGGCAGAUCCUGUACGGGCACGUGCUCUGGCACCCGGAACAAAACCUCAACGCUGCUUACAAGCUGCAGCUGGAGAAGGUCAACCUGUGCACAGGCAGGGAUGGCUACGUGCCCUUCCUCGACCCCACGGGUACCGUCUACAACGAGGGGCCCCGGUACGGCUGCAUCCAGCCCAACAAGUACCUGAAACACCGAUUCCUCCUCCUGGACCAAAACCAGCCAGAAGUGAGGGAUAAGUAUUUCCACGAUGUGCCUUUUGACGCCCACUUUGCUUCCCAGCUGUCCGAGUUCCACUCGGUGAGCAGCAUGCCCGGAGUUGAUGGAUUUACUCUCAAGGUGGACGCUCUCUACAAGGCACUCAUGAGAAGGCUCUUUAAAAACACAUUAUUCGUGUUCCUGAAGGAAUUAAUGCCAUCGCAAAGGCAGGACACCUCACGGGGUGGUCCGUGCUCCCGAGGAGCUCCCCUUGAACACCCGAGGUGGAGCUGCCCCGGGGCUGCCCCGAAGGCGGCGGGCGGCCGCUGCUGCACCGUCAGGAACCUUCAUCCACCGAGGGACACGGCGGCCUCUGCCAGGGCCAGGGCAGGAAAGUGAAGCAGGUGCACAUGGAAGUCAAAGUCCACGGCAAUUUGCACGACGGCACGGAAGUUUCAUGGAGCACACGCAUUGGGAAAAGCUUUUUAUAAACUGUAAAAUAAAGAUAAUCCAAAACUGAAAAGCCACCUGGGUAUUUUUUUUAGUCUGGUGAGGAGGGGCAGCUGUCAAUUCCCCCUGCUCCCGUCUUAGCGGCUGCACCGCUGCUCUCCCUCCGUGCUGCUCCAGCUCUCCCGGGCUUAAGUGGGCAGGGUGGGGAAGCCAGCUCCCACCGCUGGCAUGUGGGAGCUCUGAGCCAGCCGAGGAGCAGCCGGGUUCCUCUUCCUGUCCUCCGGAAGAGAGUAAAGCUAAAAU